RNAcentral lists this ribosomal RNA (105 nucleotides) under Symmetrospora clarorosea. RNAcentral describes it as "partial 28S ribosomal RNA". Lineage: Eukaryota; Fungi; Basidiomycota; Cystobasidiomycetes; Symmetrosporaceae. The record is from RNAcentral.
UCUACCUUUCAAAUCGUCAGUGGUGCUUCUAAUGCAUUUAUAUAAUUUAAGCUUUAGACCUCAAAUCAGUCAGGACUACCCGCUGAACUUAAGCAUAUCAAUAAG